Molecule: long non-coding RNA, 403 nt
Filed under: Panax ginseng (ginseng)
Lineage: Eukaryota; Viridiplantae; Streptophyta; Magnoliopsida; Apiales; Araliaceae
Description: long non-coding RNA (PGIN_LNC015820)
Source: RNAcentral
UUAAUAAAGUUAUUUGACAUGUUUUUCAAUCGGAAGAUGGAGAUAAGAUUAUCUGGACAUUGUAUAGAGACAUGUCUUGGUAAUAAAAAUCAUUCAACUCAACAGGAGAUGUAAUAAUUACAUAUCAGUGUAAGUGGACGCGGAAUAUAUUAUGGUGAACAUAAAUCUUGUUGAAUGUAAUCCUUUGCAAUUUGUCUUUCGCUAAUUAGUGAGAGCAACACAUUGCUUAAAUAUGCAGUUUCCCUUUCCACUACAUAGAGUUUACAUGCAGCUCUAUGUGCACUGUAAAUAAUUUGUUGUUGACAUAUUGUUAGAGGAAGGCAGCCAUAUCUGCUGAAUAGAUAGUGGUGACUGAGAGAUACUCACUGGAAAAACAGGUCUUUCUUGCUCUCUUGGAUUUGAG